UGCCCCAUAGUCUGGGAUACCACUUGGAAACAGGUGCUAAUACCGGAUAAGAAAGCGGAUCGCAUGAUCAGCUUUUAAAAGGCGGCGUAAGCUGUCGCUAUGGGAUGGCCCCGCGGUGCAUUAGCUAGUUGGUAAGGUAAAGGCUUACCAAGGCGAUGAUGCAUAGCCGAGUUGAGAGACUGAUCGGCCACAUUGGACUGAGACACGGCCCAAACUCCUACGGGAGGCAGCAGGG
This 235-nucleotide ribosomal RNA is filed under the name uncultured Lactobacillus sp. RNAcentral describes it as "partial 16S ribosomal RNA". It matches the Rfam family "Bacterial small subunit ribosomal RNA", at positions 127 to 354 of the family's 1533-position model. Lineage: Bacteria; Bacillati; Bacillota; Bacilli; Lactobacillales; Lactobacillaceae. The record is from RNAcentral.